AUCAAGAGUGAAUGGUGCAACCAUUGCAGGAUGGAAGAAUUCAAAGAAAGAGAAGGAUUUCCGUGAACCACCAAGUGGAAAUGAUGAGAAUGGAAAUUCAGAUAAGAAUAAUAACAGACAUGAAGAAAAAUUUAUACUAUGGGAAGUUAUUUACUGAGGAGAUUCUGAGUAGCUGCAAGUAAUCAUCCUGUGAUAGAAGGCCCAGGCAAACUGAAGCAACAGGAAUUCAAAG
Molecule: long non-coding RNA, 232 nt
Organism: Melospiza melodia melodia
Lineage: Eukaryota; Metazoa; Chordata; Aves; Passeriformes; Passerellidae
Exons: 3
Source: RefSeq, a predicted model, not a curated record